Molecule: long non-coding RNA, 374 nt
Filed under: Olea europaea (common olive)
Lineage: Eukaryota; Viridiplantae; Streptophyta; Magnoliopsida; Lamiales; Oleaceae
Description: long non-coding RNA (OEUR_LNC006426)
Source: RNAcentral
CCUCCCUGUCGUGUGAUGUGCAUAUCUCUAUAAAAUGAACUAGCCAGCCCUAUUUUAUUUACAAAAGAACUCUCUUUCCUCAUGCAUUUGUAUGAAUAUUUAUAGAUACAGCCAGCAGCCCUUUGGGAGUAGGAGUCCAAAAAAAAAUCCAACCAAUUAUACAAUUAUAUUCUUGAAUCCCAAUUGAGGUCCAAUUACUUUAUACUUUUCUUCGACCCUCUUCUCUUUUAAAAUAGUGCAAUUUAGUCCUUCUCAUCAUUGUUCCAUCACUUUUGAUUCUCCAACUUUUAUUCAAGUGAGAUUUGGUCCACAACAUCUAUUUAAUAGCUAAUUAAUCAUUUUCUUUCUCAAUUGCUUCAAAACGGGUCAAACAC